This is a small nuclear RNA of Suncus etruscus (white-toothed pygmy shrew), 105 nucleotides long. Lineage: Eukaryota; Metazoa; Chordata; Mammalia; Eulipotyphla; Soricidae. The record is from RefSeq and is a predicted model, not a curated record.
GUGCUUGCUUCAGCAGCACAUAUACUAAAAUUGGAAUGAAACAGAGAAAAUUAUCAUGGCCCCUGCGCAUGGGAUGCUGGAAAUUGAACUGCAUACCAGACAAAU